RNAcentral lists this ribosomal RNA (219 nucleotides) under uncultured bacterium. RNAcentral describes it as "partial 16S ribosomal RNA". It matches the Rfam family "Bacterial small subunit ribosomal RNA", at positions 524 to 742 of the family's 1533-position model. The record is from RNAcentral.
UACGUAGGGUGCAAGCGUUGUCCGGAAUUAUUGGGCGUAAAGAGCUCGUAGGCGGUUUGUCGCGUCUGCUGUGAAAACCCGAGGCUCAACCUCGGGCCUGCAGUGGGUACGGGCAGACUAGAGUGCGGUAGGGGAGACUGGAAUUCCUGGUGUAGCGGUGAAAUGCGCAGAUAUCAGGAGGAACACCGGUGGCGAAGGCGGGUCUCUGGGCAGUAACUG